GCCCGGAUAGCUUAGUUGGUUAGAACAGGGUGCUGAUAAUGCCAAGUUUGCAGGUUUGAUCCCCGUAUGGGACA
Molecule: non-coding RNA, 74 nt
Organism: Podarcis lilfordi (Lilford's wall lizard)
Lineage: Eukaryota; Metazoa; Chordata; Lepidosauria; Squamata; Lacertidae
Source: the annotation of a GenBank genome assembly